GCAGUUAGUUUUGGGGCUGGAAAUUUGAGCAGAGAGAAUGGCAGAGUCUUUUCAGGAGCCAGAAAUGCAUGUGAGGACCAAGAACUUCUAACAGUAGAGGAACUCUGGCUGGGGUAGUUGAGGGGGAGGAGAAAUGAGGAUCAAGGGGGCAUACAGUGCAUGAAAACAAAAGGUGAGGCCCAAGAUCAGCCAAAGUGAGUAAACCACGGUUACCAUGGCUACUCUUCAGUGGAGACGGAAGGAAGCCCUGUAUCCUCCCCUUCCAACCACACUACGCUGUUCCACUCCCCAUCUCCAUCUCCUGUACCCCAGACACACUCAGGCAAGCACAGCACCACCCUGGAUGACUCUGCGGAAUGCCUCUCAGAGACACGGAACUAGAAACCUAGGGGAAGAGGGACAUCAAGGCUUUUGCCUCACAAGCUGACUCUGGAACAAAGAGCCAGGCUGAGGGGCUGGAAGAAGAAACUUCCAGCAGAGCCACCCAGAUAUGCUUCCCCCACCCUCUAGACCUUCCACACCAACCAGUGUCCAGUCAGUCCACAGAGCAUCCUCCUGGGCUGUGGUGACUGAAGUUGAAGGGAAGAAAAUAUAAUAAUAAUUUUGGGCAGGUCGUCUUUCUUUACUGUAUUGGAUGGAUAUAGAAUCAAUAAAUCUAUAGGUUUAUCCCAUUUUUCUGAACAAAUUUAGAGGUCAAAGAUGAACCCUCAAGGGGACAGAAUAUGACCAGCAGGACUAUUGAUAUCGUCUGCCCUAGGCACUCCUCCUUACCCUCCUCUCCCCUAUAUUUUGGGGGCAGUCAUAUUCCUCAGCAGUCAGUUGCUCUGCCUCCAGUCCUAACUGGCUUCUGAAAAACAGUUCUGGUCCAUUCAUUCCCUGUCUCGAGACUUCCGGAGCUUCCUGACCUGUGAAUGAAAUCCACAGGCCCAUCACAAGAUGGCUGCGCUCUCCAGUCCCCGGCACCCCAGGCUGCUCUGAACAUGUGAGAGCUCCUCCCUCAAGGCCUGAAUUUUCGCAGGUCUUCAUCACACUCAGCCCGCCAUCAUUUUUUCAGAUUCAGUUCCAAUAUGUCACUCUGUCUGUAGAGCCUUCCCUGAAUCUCACAGACAAAUGCGGCAGUUCCCUUUGUGGGGGAUAUUCAUCAUGUUUUUCCUCAUUGGCCUAUGUUUUUGCCUCUUCUUGUAGAUGUCCAUCUAGGCUGGGAGCUCCUAGGGGGUAAACGCAGCCUCUCACUCACCUGGCACAGAGUCGAUGCUCAUGGAAUGAUACGUGAUGGGGAGAGUGAGUAAGUGAAUGAAUGAAUGAAUGCUAUUCUGGAAGGAAGAGGGAGAGAGGGAGCAGGGAAAGGUCAGAAGGGGGCCCAGAGUCUUCAGCACACAAUGUGGGUGUAUCACUGUGGCCAGGAACAAUUCGCUUCUCUGCCUGCAUUACUUUUUGGGAAAUGGGAGAGCUGAGGCUCAGUGUAGGCAAACUGGGUCCAGUCAGCAGGGAAGCCAUGAGCUCCACGGUUUAGGGGAGGAGUCCGGUGCUUAAGGAAGCUAUCACGUGGAAGAUCUCCCUGCCCUCCUCCUAUUGGUCUGUAUUGGUUUUUCUUCUUCACCAGUGGAGGCUUUUCUUCUCCCAGGAAGAAUCCAGAAUAGUUCAGACAAGCUUCAGGUCCGCCAGAACCGGGGAAAACAACGUGUAGGGUUUGUUUUAAAGGGCUUUUAAAUGGGGUUUGGGAGAUCCAGGUAGAUUAGAAUCUUGACUCUGCACUGGCUGUGCAAGACAGAAAUUCACCUUUCAAAACUUCUGUUCCCCAGUCUAUGCGGUAAGAAGUUUAGAUUAGCUGAUUUCUAGGGAGAUUUUGGGCAGGCAUGAUUCAGUUCCAUGAAGGGCUGUGGGACAGGACUGCACUAAGAGGUCCUAUAGAUUGGAUUCUUCAGUUCCCUCCCUUCCGCUGGAGAAUAGAGGAAUCUGCCUUCGCUGCACACUAGAUUUACCUGGAGAACAAAUGGAAAGCAGGCCAGGAUCCUGGGUGAAAUGUGGCACAUUUGAGGAGACUUCAACUUCCCUUGCCCUCCAGUGUGGUCUUUUCCCCACCCCCAGACAUGAAAGGGAAGCAGGUCACAAAGCCUUUCGGAUUAUAAAAGAAACACUUGCUUCUCACAAGGGGAGCAGCAGACUUACUCUGUACUAAAUGCCAGGAUAAGCCUCUGGCUGGGCCUCGACUGUGACCCUCCGGCCUCUUUCUACAGCUCUGCCUGGAUGGACUGGCCUAUCUCUGCUGGAUUCCCGAAGUGCAUUGUGUAGAGACAGCAACUCAGAGGUGGGACCAGCUGCCAGGCCCUUUCUCCAUUGGUUGAGUUCAGCAGGUAACCUGAAGCUUUGCUGAGAGGUGCAUAAAUAAAGAGUGAAACUAGUACCACCUCCUUGAAAUGGGCUGAGUCCCUCUUGCUCACCCUUGACUUGGAAAAACCAGUUUCUCUUUUAUUGUCUGUUACUAAUCUCUAUUCUAAAAAUUCAGCUCAAUUCUCAACCAUACUCCAAACUCUCUCUUUUCCAGCUACCUUUACUCCCUCUCCUUCAAUUCCACUUUCCUCUGCUUACUUUUUUUUUUUUUCUGACAGGGUCUCACUUUGUCGCCCGGGCAGGAGUGCAGUGGCUCAAUCUUGGGCUCACUGCAGCCUCAACCUCCCAGAGGCGGGGUUUCACCAUGUUGCCCAGACUGGUCUUGAACUCCUGAGCUUAAGCAAUCCACCUGCCUCGGCCUCCCAAAGUGUUGGGAUCACAGGCGUGAGCCACCGCAUCCGGCCUCAUGUUCUUUUUCAUUAAAGAGAGAAAUCAACUAUUCAGGACCGGCCCCCACCUUUCCUCAGGAGUCAUUUCUGUUCCGCACAGGCCUGCUGAACUGGGUGCUUUAUAUAGGACACUGUCAUCUCUCAAGUACCCAUCUUGGAGGGUACGGACCCCACAUGAGGAAAGGACCAACCACACCGAGCUCAGUUAUGGCACACACAGUGGGACCUAGACAAAGGGAGAGGGUGACCGACAUCCCAACUAGAUUUCAGUGGAGUGAAGUUCAGGAGGCAUGGAGCUGACAACCAUGAGGCCUCGGCAGCCACCGCCACCACCGCCGCCGCCACCACCGUAGCAGCAGCAGCAGCAGCAGCAGCAGCAGCAGCAGCAGCAAGAGUAACUCUGACUUAGGAAUAGAGACAGCCAGAGAGAAAUGUGAUCAAUGAAGGAGACAUCUGGAGUGGUCCCCAGGCAGGUGGCUGGGACACUAUUUGCAAUCAGCAAGGAACCCUGCUGCCCUUAGACUCCCCACAGAGCAAGCAGAACUUGCAGAAUGGGGUAAAAACACUCUAUUAAAGAUUUUUUAAACCUAUUUAUAUUGUAAUAAAGUAAAUGUAAAUAAAAUUUAAGUGAAGGCAGAUUGCAGAUAUUUCCGAUGCUAUACAAGAUAUAUCUCAUAGUAUGGGUGUAGAUUCUGCAAAGGUUAAUGCAGUUAAACAUAUUUGACACAUAAAAAUGUCAGAUCCAACAUUAAUCAUUCACCAAUUGUAAUUGCCUUUCUAUGGGUCUCUUCUCCCCAAGACAUAGCUUAAAACACCAGGCUCGGUAGAAAUCUGGGAGGAAAAAAGCAAAUAAUACCUCUCAGCUGUCAGGGUCUAUGAUACGCUUUGAUAGAUUUAGCACUGAUUUCAUUCUCUUUACAAUUCAGUGUGAUUGGGUGUGCGUGUGUGUGUGUGUGUGUGUGUGUGUGUGUGUGUGUGUUACUCCAUGUUUCUCCUUUUUAAGGAAGGAGAAGGUGUGGAACAAGAGAAAGUUCCUAAGUCUGAAGGAAGUCCAACCCAGUUAUGAAGGGAAUGCCAUCCACAAGCCUUUUUUAUAAUUGGCCCCUGCCUCAGGUAAAGGGGUCUCCUUUAAGGAGCCAGUCUGGCUAAAUUGGCAGAUUCUGAACAAAGCCUGGCCCUGACAAGUCUUCAGAAAAACCGGUUUUCACCUCCAGAAUGUGCCCCAG
Molecule: long non-coding RNA, 4006 nt
Filed under: Homo sapiens (human)
Lineage: Eukaryota; Metazoa; Chordata; Mammalia; Primates; Hominidae
Description: HSALNT0021024
Source: RNAcentral